CCAAGUUAAUAAGAGCGCACGGUGGAUGCCUUGGUAUCAGGAGCCGAUGAAGGACGUAGGAGCCUGCGAUAAACCUCGGGGAGUUGGCAACCGAACAUUGAUCCGGGGGUAUCCGAAUGGGGAAACCUAGCUGGGUGAGAACCCAGUUGCUGCCGUCUGAAUACAUAGGACGUCAGAGGGAACGUGGGGAAGUGAAACAUCUCAGUACCCACUGGAAGAGAAAUCAACCGAGAUUCCGUUAGUAGUGGCGAGCGAAAGCGGAAGAGCCUAAACCUCUCGUGUGUAAUAGCCGGUAGGCGUUGCACGAGUGGUGUUGUGGGGCCAAGCAGCCCGAUCUACCGAUCGGGCGAAGAGUAAGAAACUCAUUGCGUAGUCAAAGGUGUUGGAAAACACCGGCACAGAAGGUAAUACCCCUGUAGACGAAACGCAUUGAACUCUUGUUUGUAGCCCCAAGUAAUACGGAGCUCGAGAAAUUCCGUAUGAAUCCGGCGGGACCACCCGCCAAGGCUAAAUACUCCCUGAUAACCGAUAGCGGACAAGUACCGUGAGGGAAAGGUGAAAAGAACCCCGAGAGGGGAGUGAAAUAGAACCUGAAACCGUGUGCUUACAAGCCGUGGAAGCGUCGUCCACUUCGGUGGGCCGUGACCGCGUGCCUUUUGAAGAAUGAGCCUGCGAGUUAGUGGUAUGUGGCGAGGUUAACCCGCGAGGGGUAGCCGUAGCGAAAGCGAGUCCUAACUGGGCGAAUGAGUCGCAUGCCCUAGACCCGAAGCGAAGUGAUCUACCCAUGGGCAGGGUGAAGCGCCGGUAAGACGGCGUGGAGGCCCGAACCCACCAAUGUUGAAAAAUUGGGGGAUGAGCUGUGGGUAGGGGUGAAAGGCCAAUCAAACUCCGUGAUAGCUGGUUCUCCCCGAAAUGCAUUUAGGUGCAGCGUCACGUGUUUCUUGCUGGAGGUAGAGCACUGGAAGGCCUAGGGGCCCUACAAGGUUACUGACGUCUACCAAACUCCGAAUACCAGUAAGUAAAACGUGGCAGUGAGACUGCGGGGGAUAAGCUUCGUAGUCGAAAGGGAAACAGCCCAGAUCACCAACUAAGGCCCCCAAGCAUGUGCUAAGUGGAAAAGGAUGUGAAAUCGCAUUGACAACCAGGAGGUUGGCUUAGAAGCAGCUAUCCUUGAAAGAGUGCGUAAUAGCUCACUGGUCAAGUAAUUUCGCGCCGACAAUUUAACGGGGCUCAAGCACAUCGCCGAAGUUGUGGCAUGGACACAUGUACCUAGCACGCUGUAACAGGUGUGUUCAGGUGUGUCCUUGGGUAGGGGAGCGUCGUAUCGCGAGUGAAGCGGCAGUGAAAACUAGUCGUGGACGCGAUACGAGUGAGAAUGCAGGCAUGAGUAGCGAAUGACGGGUGAAAAACCCGUCCGCCGUAUGACCAAGGGUUCCAGGGUCAAGCUAAUCUGCCCUGGGUAAGUCGGGACCUAAGGCGAGGCCGAGAGGCGUAGUCGAUGGACAACGGGUUGAUAUUCCCGUACCGGCGUUGUUGCGACCGUGCUGAGCCCGGUAAUGCUAAGUAACCGAACCGAGACACCCUUCGGGGUGGCCUUGGGGAGUGUGCGAACCGAACCGGUAGUAGGCAAGCAAAGGGGUGACGCAGUAAGGCAGCCCAACCCGGGCGAUGGUCGACCCGGGGUAAGGACGUAGGCCGAGAUAUAGGCAAAUCCGUAUCUCAUUAAGGCCGAGAUCUGAUGCCGAGCCGAUUAAGGCGAAGUGGGUGAUCCUAAGCUGUCAAGAAAAGCCUCUAGCGAGUGACAAAGCCGCCCGUACCCCAAACCGACACAGGUGGUCAGGUAGAGAAUACCGAGGCGAUCGAGAGAACUGUGGUUAAGGAACUCGGCAAAAUGCCCCCGUAACUUCGGGAGAAGGGGGGCCAAAAGCUGUGAGGGGGUUUACCCCCCAAGCGGAGAUUGGCCGCAGAAACCAGGCUCAAGCGACUGUUUACUAAAAACACAGGUCCGUGCGAAGUUGUAAAACGAUGUAUACGGACUGACGCCUGCCCGGUGCUGGAACGUUAAGGGGACGGAUCAGCAGCUUCGGCUGCGAAGUUCAGAACUUAAGCGCCAGUAAACGGCGGUGGUAACUAUAACCAUCCUAAGGUAGCGAAAUUCCUUGUCGGGUAAGUUCC
This 2175-nucleotide ribosomal RNA is filed under the name freshwater bacterium LH6-2. RNAcentral's name for it is "bacterial LSU rRNA". It matches the Rfam family "Bacterial large subunit ribosomal RNA", at positions 3 to 1984 of the family's 2925-position model. The record is from RNAcentral.